CUUGCGUAACGAUGGGUGCUGUCCUAGAUCAAUGGAAAGCACACUUGGAGAUGGGGUCCAUUCAUUAUGUGAACGGGCCUGUGCUCCGUAGCGUCGUGGUGUUUCUGCUGUUGGGUGUCUCCUACAGUAAGCGCAGGUGCAACUACACGGAUAUACUCAGCACGUACAGAGAACUAAUCUUCGUUGAACUUCAGAAUUUGAAUCUGACAGGCACUUUUGACACACCCAAAGAGAGGGACCAUUGUCCCUCAGGAAAGCUGCAGCACGUGUUGCGCUCCAUCCAUGGUAUGACGGAGCAAUUCCUGUGUCAGGGCUGGGAUCAGGAACACGGGCGGGGCAGCAGAGAGCAGUGGGCCAUGAAGAAGCCAGUGGAGAUGAUGGCAGUGCUGAUCAGACAGAACUGCAGGCACACUGACCUGGUGAGGAAACAGAAGAGAACAGCGCUGUGUGUGACUGCCCAGAGGACGAAGGGAAAGAACAGGAAGAGGAUGAGACUCAUCAGGGCACUGAUAAACUGUUGGCAGAAGCUGCAGAGUUUGUACACACCCACAAAAUAAUUUGAAAAAAAUAUGUUUUUAUUUUUUAUCAAAAUUGUUUCAAAAAAGCUUAUUUUGUAGAGUAGAAUGACAGUUUGUAUGUCAGGCAUAGGCCUCUGUUUAUGACCUUUUACUUCUUGUCUGUACAGUCCCACAUGUAUAAGCUAUAGGUCACCAUAGAUCAGGGAUGGGCCACUUUGAUGUGGGCGGGGGCCACAAAAAAAACGAACUGAUCAUGCUUACUAUAAGUUUAGAUAACUAGCCGCUAGACUAACUUGCCAAUCUAAAAAGGUUUACCUGACUUGGGCUAAUUAAGUGACUGCUGAUGCACAACCAACCACAUGUUGAAAUUGCACCUUGUGUAAUCUAUUAUUCUAACUCUCAACAGUAAAUUGAGACCCGACUGAGUUCCCCCCAUUAAUUAUGGUUGUUAGAGGAUGGUUUUACAAUGCAGUGAAGAUAUUUACUUGUAAUACCUUGGUGCACACACAUUUUAUAACUCUUAGCUAUCUCACAAUCCAGAUAUUGUUUUUGUGAAACCGAUAGAUACAGUUGUUGUUCUAUGAAAUGUAUUUAAGAUGCCCACUGAUAAAGGUUUCUUAAACUGCAUCAUUGGUUGUUUAUUCCUGUAAUGAUCGAAACAUGGGC
This is a long non-coding RNA of Oncorhynchus tshawytscha (Chinook salmon), 1184 nucleotides long. Lineage: Eukaryota; Metazoa; Chordata; Actinopteri; Salmoniformes; Salmonidae. The record is from Ensembl.